RNAcentral lists this ribosomal RNA (468 nucleotides) under uncultured bacterium. RNAcentral's name for it is "partial 16S ribosomal RNA". It matches the Rfam family "Bacterial small subunit ribosomal RNA", at positions 28 to 507 of the family's 1533-position model. The record is from RNAcentral.
GACGAACGCUGGCGGCGUGCUUAACACAUGCAAGUCGAACGGAAAGGCCCUGCUUUUGUGGUGUUCUCGAGUGGCGCACGGGUGAGUAACACGUGAGUAACCUGCCCUUGACUUUGGGAUAACUUCAGGAAACUGGGGCUAACACCGUAUAGGAUCUCCUGCUGCAUGGUGGGGGUUGGAAAGUUUCGGCGGUUGGGGAUGGACUCGCGGCUUAUCAGCUUUUUGGUGGGGUAGUGGCUUACCAAGGCUUUGACGGGUAGCCGGCCUGAGAGGGUGACCGGCCACAUUGGGACUGAGAAACGGCCCAGACUCGUACGGGAGGAAGCAGGGGGGAAUAUUGCAAAAUGGGCGGAAGCCUGAUGAAGAAACGCGGCGUGCGGGAUGAGGGCCUUCGGGUGGUAAACCGCUUUCGCCUGUGACGAAGCGUGAGUGACGGUAAAGGGUAAAGAAGCACCGGCUAACUACGUG